Molecule: ribosomal RNA, 491 nt
Filed under: uncultured bacterium
Lineage: Bacteria
Description: bacterial SSU rRNA
Rfam family: Bacterial small subunit ribosomal RNA
Source: RNAcentral
CUAGGAUGAACGCUGGCGGCGUGCUUAACACAUGCAAGUCGAACGGAGUUUUAACGGAAGUUUCGGAUGGAAGUUUAGAAACUUAGUGGCGGACGGGUGAGUAACGCGUGGGUAACCUGCCUCAUACAGGGGGAUAACAGUUAGAAAUGACUGCUAACACCGCAUAAUAUAGCGAAACCGCAUGAUUUUGCUAUCAAAUAUUUAUAGGUAUGAGAUGGGCCCGCGUCUGAUUAGCUAGUUGGUGGGGUAAAAGCCUACCAAGGCGACGAUCAGUAGCCGGCUUGAGAGAGUGACCGGCCACAUUGGGACUGAGACACGGCCCAAACUCCUACGGGAGGCAGCAGUGGGGAAUAUUGGACAAUGGGGGAAACCCUGAUCCAGCCGACGCCGCGUGAGUGAAGAAGUAUUUCGGUAUGUAAAGCUCUAUCAGCAGGGAAGAUAAUGACAGUACCUGACUAAGAAGCCCCGGCUAACUACGUGCCAGCCGCGGC